CACGCAGGCGGUCUGUCAAGUCGGAUGUGAAACCCCCGGGCUCAACCUGGGAACUGCAUUCGAAACUGGCAGGCUAGAGUCUUGUAGAGGGGGGUAGAAUUCCAGGUGUAGCGGUGAAAUGCGUAGAGAUCUGGAGGAAUACCGGUGGCGAAGGCGGCCCCCUGGACAAAGACUGACGCUCAGGUGCGAAAGCGUGGGGAGCAAACA
Molecule: ribosomal RNA, 207 nt
Filed under: uncultured bacterium
Lineage: Bacteria
Description: partial 16S ribosomal RNA
Rfam family: Bacterial small subunit ribosomal RNA
Source: RNAcentral